This 460-nucleotide ribosomal RNA is filed under the name uncultured bacterium. RNAcentral describes it as "partial 16S ribosomal RNA". It matches the Rfam family "Bacterial small subunit ribosomal RNA", at positions 338 to 795 of the family's 1533-position model. The record is from RNAcentral.
CCUACGGGUGGCAGCAGUGAGGAAUAUUGGUCAAUGGACGGAAGCCUGAACCAGCCAAGUCGCGUGCGGGAAUAAGGCCCUACGGGUCGUAAACCUCUUUUGCCGGGGAGCAAGGGCGGGGACGUGUCCCGGCCCGGAGAGUACCCGGAGAAAAAGCAUCGGCUAACUCCGUUCCAGCAGCCGCGGUAAUACGGAGGAUGCGAGCGGUAUCCGGAUUUAUUGGGUUUAAAGGGUGCGUAGGCGGGCUUUUUAGUCCGCGGUAAAAAUUCGGGGCUCAACCCCGUCCGGCCGUUGAAACUGGGGGCUUUGAGUGGGCGAGAAGAAGGCGGAAUGCGUGGGGUAGGGGGGAAAGGCAUAGAAACAACGCAGAAUCCCGAUGGGGAAGGCAGCCUUCCGGCGCCCUACGGACGCUGAGGCACGAAAGGGCGGGGAUCGAACAGGAUUAGAUACCCGUGUAGUC